AUUCCAGCUCCAAUAGCGUAUAUUAAUGUUGUUGCAGUUAAAAAGCUCGUAGUUGGAUUUCUGGAUUGAGCGGCUGGCCUUACGCGCAAGCGUUCGUGUCGGCUUCGUUUCGGUCCAUCCUCAGGGGGACUUGCGCUGGCAUUAACGUGUCGGUGUUGGGACGCCUGUCGUUUACUGUGAACAAAUUAGAGUGUUCAAAGCAAGGUGUACUUGAAUACAUUAGCAUGGAAUAAUAAGAUAGGACUUUGGUGGUUCUUUUUGAUAUUUUGUUGGUUUGCACGCCAAAGUAAUGAUUAAUAGGAGCAGUUGGGGGUAUUCGUAUUCAAUUGUCAGAGGUGAAAUUCUUGGAUUUAUAGAAGACGAACUACUGCGAAAGCAUUUACCAAGGAUGUUUUCAUUA
This 400-nucleotide ribosomal RNA is filed under the name Pseudopedinella sp. RNAcentral describes it as "partial small subunit ribosomal RNA". It matches the Rfam family "Eukaryotic small subunit ribosomal RNA", at positions 582 to 975 of the family's 1831-position model. The record is from RNAcentral. Lineage: Eukaryota; Dictyochophyceae; Pedinellales.